Molecule: ribosomal RNA, 143 nt
Filed under: uncultured Methanomicrobiales archaeon
Lineage: Archaea; Methanobacteriati; Methanobacteriota; Methanomicrobia; Methanomicrobiales
Description: partial 16S ribosomal RNA
Rfam family: Archaeal small subunit ribosomal RNA
Source: RNAcentral
ACAAUGGGUAUCGACACCGAAAGGUGAAGGCAAUCUCUAAACCCAUCCGUAGUUCGGAUUGUGGGCUGCAACUCGCCCACAUGAAGCUGGAAUCUGUAGUAAUCGUGUCUCAAAAUGGCACGGUGAAUAUGUCCCUGCUCCUU